Molecule: ribosomal RNA, 817 nt
Filed under: uncultured Bacillota bacterium
Lineage: Bacteria; Bacillati; Bacillota
Description: bacterial SSU rRNA
Rfam family: Bacterial small subunit ribosomal RNA
Source: RNAcentral
AGAUUUGAUCCUGGCUCAGGAUGAACGCUGGCGGCGCAUUUAAGACAUGCAAGUCGAACGAAGAUUCACACCGAAUGAAAGAUGAAGAUUCAUCAGAUUCUGGAUUUCACCGUGAAUUCUUAGGGCGGACGGGUGAGUAAUACGUAGAUAAUCUGCCUUCUAGAGGGAAAUAACAGAGAGAAAUUCUGCUAAUGUCCCAUAAGACCACACUAUGGCAUCUUAGAGUGAUCAAAGGAGCAAUCCCUAGAAGAUGAGUCUACGGCUGAUUAGCCAGUUGGCAGUGUAAUGGACUACCAAAGCUAUAUCAGUAGCCGAGCUGAGAGGCUGGCCGGCCACAUUGGGACUGAGACACGGCCCAGACUCUACGGGAGGCAGCAGUUGGGAAUAUUGGACAAUGGAGGAAACUCUGAUCCAGUGACGCCGGUGAAGGAAGAAGGUCUUCGGAUUGUAAACUUAUUUUGUCAGGGAAGAAUUUUGACUGUACUGAAGAAAAAGCACCGGCUAACUACGUGCCAGCAGCCGCGGUAAUACGUAGGGUGCAAGGUUAUCCGGAUUUACUGGGUGUAAAGGGCGAGUAGACGGCGAUGCAAGUCAGAUGUGAAAGCUAGGGCUUAACCUUAGAACUGCAUCUGAAACUGUAUUGCUAGAGUGCAGGAGAGGUAACGGAAUUCCUAGUGUAGCGGUGAAAUGCGUAGAUAUUAGAGGAACAUCAGUGGCGAAGGCGUUUACUGGACUGUAACUGACGUUGAGGCGCGAAAGCGUGGGGGAGCAAACAAGGAUUAGUACCCUGGUAGUCCACGCCGUAACGAUGGAUACU